GUCGUUUACCUGUUAUCGGCAAUUCCUCCCUCAGAGCUCUAGUCUCUCUCUCAGACCCCUGCGAAUUCCUCUUACCUUGAGCCUCGGACCUUGAAACCGAAGCCGGUCCUCCCAACCCUCGCGAAUUUCUCUCUCAGACUCUCAGUCUUCUGAAUCACUCGCGAUUCGCGAAUUCCCUUUCUGAAUCACCGGCGAAUACCCUUCCUGAAUCACGCCGUCCCCGUCUCACAGCUCGCUGCCUCCUUGCCGUCGCUCAAUGGCUAAGCUUAACUCCUCUCCUUACAAUUAACUAGUUGGAUUUUCACCAAGUUGAAGGUCAAACAAAGUAUAACUCGAAGCACUGGAAUCUGAGAGCAAGAGCAUAUAGAUAUCUUGUUAUGCAUUGAACAUGCAGAUAGGGUCAACAGUCAUCAUGGACUCUGAGGUACAUCCUCAUCAGGGGAGCUUCUUGGUUCAGGAUGGAGGUCCAGUUGUAGCCCCAACCAUCUCAACUCAUGUCGCACAGCAGCAGCCUAUGAAAAAAACAACACGGCAAUGGGCUGCUUGGACACAUCAAGAGGAGGAAAGUUUCUUUUCUGCGUUACGACAAGUUGGGAA
This 597-nucleotide small RNA is filed under the name Malus domestica (apple). Its description in RNAcentral is "sRNA MD12G0092700". Lineage: Eukaryota; Viridiplantae; Streptophyta; Magnoliopsida; Rosales; Rosaceae. The record is from RNAcentral.